AACAAAACACAAACAUAUACUAGUACAUUGCAUACAUACAUUAGCAUAAAAAGUCAAGUGUGAUAAUAAUGUUCAAUACAACUUGAUAAAAUGUGAUGAAAAAAUAAACAUGAUGACAUGAUCAGUUUUUUAUAUUAUUUAUACAGUUAGGUUGAUUUCAAUAAAUGAUCUGCUAUUUUGUAUUUGAAAGAAUUAAUAUUUGUAAUAUUUCUUAACGGUAUUGGCAAAUUAUUCCACAAGUAUGGUCCAGAAUACAUAAAAGAUUUUUUGAAUAAUUCUGUUUUUGGUUUAGGGAGUAUGAGGUUUCCUUGAACAGCAUUUCUCAAGGGGUACGGAUUUCUGUCUGAAACAUAAUGAAACUUGUUAGUAAGAUAUGAUGGGGCAUCAUUAUUAAUACACUUAAAUGUCAUCACUAACUUAUGAUAUUUUAUUCUCUGUUCAACUGUCAUCCAGUUUAAGUGUUUGAAUAAGGGUGCAGAAGGAGCGAAUGGGUCUGUUUCUAGUAUUAAUCUAGCAGCCCUCUUU
This 525-nucleotide long non-coding RNA is filed under the name Mytilus galloprovincialis (Mediterranean mussel). The record is from RNAcentral. Lineage: Eukaryota; Metazoa; Mollusca; Bivalvia; Mytilida; Mytilidae.